Molecule: ribosomal RNA, 253 nt
Filed under: uncultured bacterium
Lineage: Bacteria
Description: partial 16S ribosomal RNA
Rfam family: Bacterial small subunit ribosomal RNA
Source: RNAcentral
UACGAAGGGGGCUAGCGUUGUUCGGAAUUACUGGGCGUAAAGCGUAUGCAGGCGGACUUUUAAGUCGGGGGUGAAAUCCCGAGGCUCAACCUCGGAACUGCCUUCGAUACUGGAAGUCUUGAGUUCGGGAGAGGUGAGUGGAAUGCCGAGUGUAGAGGUGAAAUUCGUAGAUAUUCGGCGGAACACCAGUGGCGAAGGCGACUCACUGGCCCGAUACUGACGCUGAGGUGCGAAAGCGUGGGGAGCAAACAGG